This 230-nucleotide ribosomal RNA is filed under the name uncultured bacterium. RNAcentral's name for it is "partial 16S ribosomal RNA". It matches the Rfam family "Bacterial small subunit ribosomal RNA", at positions 561 to 790 of the family's 1533-position model. The record is from RNAcentral.
UAAAGCGCGCGUAGGUGGUUUGUUAAGUUGGAUGUGAAAUCCCCGGGCUCAACCUGGGAACUGCAUUCAAAACUGACUGACUAGAGUAUGGUAGAGGGUGGUGGAAUUUCCUGUGUAGCGGUGAAAUGCGUAGAUAUAGGAAGGAACACCAGUGGCGAAGGCGACCACCUGGACUGAUACUGACACUGAGGUGCGAAAGCGUGGGGAGCAAACAGGAUUAGAUACCCUGU